RNAcentral lists this long non-coding RNA (390 nucleotides) under Felis catus (domestic cat). RNAcentral describes it as "lncRNA (ENSFCAG00000046900.1)". The record is from RNAcentral. Lineage: Eukaryota; Metazoa; Chordata; Mammalia; Carnivora; Felidae.
AGGUGCCAGGAUCCCACACAGUUGUGCUUAUUCAUUUCCUGGCUACUGCCCAAUUUGUUGGUUUUUUAUUUUUUUUAAUUUUUUUUAAUUUUUUUUUCCAACGUUUAUUUAUUUUUGGGACAGAGAGAGACAGAGCAUGAACGGGCGAGAGGCAGAGAGAGAGGGAGACACAGAAUCGGAAACAGGCUCCAGGCUCUGAGCCAUCAGCCCAGAGCCCGACGCGGGGCUCGAACUCACGGACCGCGAGAUCGUGACCUGGCUGAAGUCGGACGCUUAACCGACUGCGCCACCCAGGCGCCCCUGUUGGUUUUUGAAUCAUGGAGAAUGUUGACCCCUAGGAGCACCUCUCUCAACGAGAACUAUCUCACGUAUCAUGAUAGCAGCAGAUAA